RNAcentral lists this ribosomal RNA (253 nucleotides) under uncultured bacterium. Its description in RNAcentral is "partial 16S ribosomal RNA". It matches the Rfam family "Bacterial small subunit ribosomal RNA", at positions 524 to 776 of the family's 1533-position model. The record is from RNAcentral.
UACGAAGGGGGCGAGCGUUGUUCGGAAUUACUGGGCGUAAAGGGCGCGUAGGCGGUCCUUCAAGUCAGGCGUGAAAGCCCCGGGCUCAACCUGGGAACCGCGCUUGAGACUGGCGGACUCGAGUUCGGGAGAGGAUGGUGGAAUUCCCAGUGUAGAGGUGAAAUUCGUAGAUAUUGGGAAGAACACCGAUGGCGAAGGCAGCCAUCUGGACCGACACUGACGCUGAGGCGCGGAAGCGUGGGGAGCAAACAGG